Molecule: ribosomal RNA, 272 nt
Filed under: uncultured bacterium
Lineage: Bacteria
Description: partial 16S ribosomal RNA
Rfam family: Bacterial small subunit ribosomal RNA
Source: RNAcentral
UGAUUUUAUUUUAGUGGCGGACGGGUGAGUAACGCGUGGGCAACCUGCCCCAUACCGGGGGAUACCAGCCGGAAACGGCUGCUAAAACCGCAUAAGCGCACAGUACCGCAUGGUACAGUGUGAAAAACUCCGGUGGUAUGGGAUGGGCCCGCGUCCGAUUAGCCAGUUGGCGGGGUAGCGGCCCACCAAAGCGACGAUCGGUAGCCGGCCUGAGAGGGCGGACGGCCACAUUGGGACUGAGACACGGCCCAAACUCCUACGGAAGGCAGCAG